This is a long non-coding RNA of Dicentrarchus labrax (European seabass), 215 nucleotides long. RefSeq lists it as uncharacterized. The transcript has 4 exons. NCBI's taxonomy places the organism in Eukaryota, Metazoa, Chordata, Actinopteri, Moronidae. The record is from RefSeq and is a predicted model, not a curated record.
CAUUUGGUCUGCAGAUCCGUUUGUUUACAACUAUGAAAGGCUACGAAUUGGAGGCCUGAUCUGUGCCUGCUUGUUGGUGGCCGGAGGACUCGGCGUUAUACUUUACAACAAGUGUUCUAGGACGGACAAAAAAGGCGAAGAUGACAACAGUGAAAUCUGAUACCGUGCCCGACAAACCAGUUUGGUCCAGGAGGAAGAGCUGACAGGCAAGGGGU